GAUUUCAACUAAAAAAGUCAUCAACAACAAAGUUGUGAUGAACUCACCAAGAUCUAUAACUUUUAUGUGUGUUAUUUCUUCAUCCGAUAAAGUGCUAGUAACAUUGUUCACAAAAUUCACACAUUUGUGUUAUAGUUUAUAAAACUAGAUGAGAGAUAUGUGAAUUUUGUGAACAAUAUUACUAUCACUUUGUCGGAUGAAGAAAUGACCAAAAUAAAAGUUAUAGAUCUUGAUGAGUUGUACAACUUUGUUGUUGAUGACUUUUUCAGUUGAAAUC
Oryza sativa Indica Group (long-grained rice) is the source of this 277-nucleotide microRNA precursor. It matches the Rfam family "MIR821 microRNA precursor family". The record is from Rfam. NCBI's taxonomy places the organism in Eukaryota, Viridiplantae, Streptophyta, Magnoliopsida, Poales, Poaceae.